CCCGAGAUAUCGGGACGGGAUGUGACCCGAGAGGGUUGAACCACCAA
This is a regulatory RNA element of Halodesulfurarchaeum formicicum, 47 nucleotides long. It matches the Rfam family "eL15-Euryarchaeota ribosomal protein leader". The record is from Rfam. NCBI's taxonomy places the organism in Archaea, Methanobacteriati, Methanobacteriota, Halobacteria, Halobacteriales, Halobacteriaceae.